GGGAUAUUGCACGAUGGGCGGAAGCCUGAUGCAGCAACGCCGCGUGAGUGAUGAAGGCCCUCGGGUCGUAAAACUCUUUUCAAGAGGAAGAGGAAGGACGGUACUCUUGGAAUAAUCCUCGGCUAACUACGUGCCAGCAGCCGCGGUAACACGUAGGAGGCGAGCGUUAUUCGGAUUUACUGGGCGUAAAGCGCGUGUAGGCGGCUGAUCAAGUUGGAUGUGAAAGCUCCUGACUUAACUGGGAGAGGACGUUCAAAACUGAACAGCUUGAGUAUGAGAGAGGAAAGUGGUAUUCCGGGUGUAGUGGUGAAAUGCGUAGAUAUCCGGCGGAACACCAGUGGUGAAGGCGAUUUUCUGGC
This 359-nucleotide ribosomal RNA is filed under the name uncultured bacterium. RNAcentral's name for it is "bacterial SSU rRNA". It matches the Rfam family "Bacterial small subunit ribosomal RNA", at positions 358 to 733 of the family's 1533-position model. The record is from RNAcentral.